This 549-nucleotide ribosomal RNA is filed under the name uncultured Glomus. RNAcentral describes it as "SSU rRNA". It matches the Rfam family "Eukaryotic small subunit ribosomal RNA", at positions 548 to 1098 of the family's 1831-position model. The record is from RNAcentral. Lineage: Eukaryota; Fungi; Glomeromycota; Glomeromycetes; Glomerales; Glomeraceae.
UUGGAGGGCAAGUCUGGUGCCAGCAGCCGCGGUAAUUCCAGCUCCAAUAGCGUAUAUUAAAGUUGUUGCAGUUAAAAAGCUCGUAGUUGAAUCUCGGGAUCAAUUUGCUGGUCGUGCCUCUGGUACGUACUGGUAUUAUUGGUUUCUCCCUUCUGACGAACCAUGAUGUCAUUAAUUUGAUGUCGUGGAGAAUCAGGACCGUUACUUUGAAAAAAUUAGAGUGUUUAAAGCAGGCAUUAGCUUGAAUACAUUAGCAUGGAAUAAUGAAAUAGGACGUUUGAUCCUAUUUUGUUGGUUUCUAGGAUUGACGUAAUGAUUAAUAGGGAUAGUUGGGGGCAUUAGUAUUCAAUUGUCAGAGGUGAAAUUCUUGGAUUUAUUGAAGACUAACUACUGCGAAAGCAUUUGCCAAGGAUGUUUUCAUUAAUCAAGAACGAAAGUUAGGGGAUCGAAGACGAUCAGAUACCGUCGUAGUCUUAACCAUAAACUAUGCCGACUAGGGAUCGGAUGAUGUUAAUUUUUUAAUGACUCAUUCGGCGCCUUACGGGAAAC